AAAAACUGCAAAGAAGAAGAAAAAACAA
Molecule: small RNA, 28 nt
Filed under: Arabidopsis thaliana (thale cress)
Lineage: Eukaryota; Viridiplantae; Streptophyta; Magnoliopsida; Brassicales; Brassicaceae
Description: ATSL244570
Source: RNAcentral